AUGGGGGCUGGGGGGAGGGGAAGGGAAAGGGAUCCCUGCUGGAAACCCCUGACGCUCACACACCGGUACGUUCUCUCGGCGGGCGGGCAGGUAAUCGCGGGCGAACGACCUGCUGCGCCCCAGCGUGGGCAAAAGCGCGGGACUGGAGCUUUUGCAGGGCGGAGCGCGCGCACUUGUCCUUGUCUGUCUUCCUUCCUUCCUUCCUUCCUUCCUUCCUUCCUUCCUUCCCCGGGGCUGGGCAGGCGGCGCUGCGAAGCAGCUCUUGCUGGGGGGGGGGCACCUUCGCCAACGCUGCUGCAGUCGGCGGCCUCGCUCGGCCGCGGCGAGCGCCAGGGGCGCCAAGAAGAACCAAAGGCCGAGAAGGAGAAGAGCCGCCGCCGCCGGGGUUCCGCCGGGCGAGAGCGGCCACGAGGCGCCCCUUUGGCUCCGCGUCCAAACAGCCGCGCUGUGCCGCCGGCGCGGCGGAGUCGCUCUCCGCUCGCCCGCUCGCUGCGAACGGCGGCGUCUCCGCCCCUUUCGACACCCGACCCGCCUCCCUCCUGCUGGCGACCGUGUGAAGCGAGCGGGGCAGCCGCGGCGGGCAGCGAGGCGAGAGGAGGCGGACGAUCCAGACGACGGGGCGGCGGGAGGCAGAGAGCGACGGCGCUUCGAGCGGAAGGGACGCGAAGAGGCGAGCGGGCGGCAUGAAUACUCCUCUUGUAUGCCGCUUGGAGCGUCUUUUUGGUUAGACAUCAGUUAAGCCAUUGUCUCUGGAUUUUGUGGUCUCCUGGUCGUGUUUGUCUACUGCCCUGGGACUCUGGUGAACAGAACGUGCGAUUCUCUCUACCUCUGUAAACAGCUAAAAAUGCUAAAGGCCAUGGAGGAGUGAAGAUAAGACUUCUGAAGAGAGCUACAAAUGCUUAAGUUAUAAUGGUCUACUAUCGUCUUGUGGAAGU
This 935-nucleotide long non-coding RNA is filed under the name Salvator merianae (Argentine black and white tegu). Its description in RNAcentral is "lncRNA (ENSSMRG00000008827.1)". The record is from RNAcentral. Lineage: Eukaryota; Metazoa; Chordata; Lepidosauria; Squamata; Teiidae.